UGAGUAGGUCGAAUGGUCGCGGGAGCAGUGCUGAAAAGCCGCUCACGAGGAAAGUCCGGGCUCCGCAGGGCAAGGGUGCCGGGUAACACCCGGUGAAGGCGACUUCAAGGAAAGUGCAACAGAAAUAAACCGCCUGUAUUGAUACGAUACAGGUAAGGGUGGAAAGGUGAGGUAAGAGCUCACCGGCCGAUCGGCGACGUGAGGCGCUAUGUAAACCCCACCCGGAGCAACACCGUGACAAGGAACAUAAGGGCGGCCCGCCCGUUCCUUAGAGGUGGCUGGAGCCUUGUAGCAAUACAGGGCGUAGAUAGAUGACCAUUCAAGACAGAACCCGGCUUACAGACCUGCUCAAUAA
Molecule: RNase P RNA, 355 nt
Filed under: Clostridiaceae bacterium
Lineage: Bacteria; Bacillati; Bacillota; Clostridia; Eubacteriales; Clostridiaceae
Description: RNase P RNA component class A
Rfam family: Bacterial RNase P class A
About the family: Ribonuclease P (RNase P) is a ubiquitous endoribonuclease, found in archaea, bacteria and eukarya as well as chloroplasts and mitochondria. Its best characterised activity is the generation of mature 5'-ends of tRNAs by cleaving the 5'-leader elements of precursor-tRNAs. Cellular RNase Ps are ribonucleoproteins.
Source: RNAcentral